This 1762-nucleotide long non-coding RNA is filed under the name Vigna radiata. RNAcentral describes it as "long non-coding RNA (VRAD_LNC007753)". The record is from RNAcentral. Lineage: Eukaryota; Viridiplantae; Streptophyta; Magnoliopsida; Fabales; Fabaceae.
GCUAAAACUUUAAAGAGAAAAUAAUUAUAACUUUCACUAAAACUUACAGUUACAGGUACUAUAAAUCUGAUAUGUGGUCACUUGGUAAGAAUUACAGUUACGUGAUUCUAGUUGACAAAGUCAUAUGCCAUGAUAUCUGACCUUGUGUAAAAUUAUGUCUCUUUGUAUGUAAAGGUUGCUGCAUGUUUGAAAUUGUUGCACAUCAACUAGCAUUUCGUGCUCCAGUAAGAACAAAACCGAAUCAUCUGAGUUUGAUAUUAUUAGUGACAAUGAAGUUUAUCCAAUAUGAGUGAAAUAAUUUGGUGAAUCAUGAAUGAAUCAAACAGGACAGGUCUGGACUUAUCAAUAAAAUAAAUAGAUGCUCCAUUUCUCCGUUGCCAAUUGUUUACUCGUCCACACUGUAAGUAACCUUUUCAUGUUAUUACAAAAUAUUCAGUCCUUCUGCUUCAGUUUUUCCAGGUAACAAGUCAGCCAGCUUCUCAAAUUUGCCUCUUAGAGUUUUUGACCGCUUGUCCAGGUAAGCUUGACAGCUAAGCAUAAUCCAAAUGGAUAGCUUUGACUUCACUUAUCCAGCGUGGCAGCGGGCUUGCCAGCCUUCACAGCAGCUACACUUUCUCCAAUUCUGCCAAUCAUCUCAUCCAGCUCUUAUUGAAGCCAAUUGCUCUCUCAAGUGCACUGCACAACUCCAAACAGCAAUAUAUAGAAAAGGACAUAAUUACCUGCCAAGGCUUGGCAAAAUCAUAUAAAGCUUCUUUAACACAACUUUCAGCUUUAUCCCAGAUUGCAAUAUCUCAUAGGUAUUUCUCUGGUCUCUAAUGAAGUAUCCCAGACAUGAAAUACUGAUCUAUAAUUGAAAGAAAAAAAAAACGAUUGAUUCGGAAAAACUUUCUAUGCUUCUCCUUAACUGGGAAGCAAGAUAGAAAGACAUCAAAUUUGUUGUAGAGUAAAAAGGGUUUACAAAGAUUUAUCUUACAUAAAUUUAAAGAUAAAAUCACGUGGAACUCCUUGCAGAAAAUGUGCAUCAUCCUCAGCAACAUUUAAAUCAAAUGUCAUUAACAGUAUGAAACUCAACAACAUAGACAACAGAAAGUAAAGAUAACGAAAAUGCACCAUACACAUGCCUGCGAAAUUUAAAACCUAAAGAACCUAGCCACAAUAAUGCAUAAAAAUGUAUGUGCUCCUGCCUCGGUAACUUGACAUGAAAAAUAAUGAAUCUGCUGGUUCUAUGUACUAAGCAACAAAUUAAUUUUAUUCAAUUAACCCAAUAAAAAGUUGACCCCCUUCCAUAAAAACUAAUGUCAAUCCUCAUACAGAGACGAAUGAAAUAUAACAUUUGGUGUUUUCCAAACUGAAUCCAAAAACAUAACUCUCUGUCACACACCCUUGCCCCCUUUUUUCUAGGGUUUUCGAACAAGAAUAAAAAAGAAAACCAAAGACAGAGAAAUUAAAAAGAAGAAAGGAUUACAGGACAAACCUCUUAUGCUUCUCACUUCGCUGAUAACGAUUAAGUCCCUGUGCCAACCAUGGAGUUCUCUUUUUCUUUAUUCUUUAUCGCUCGCUCUCUCCCUCUCGACCAUGCAAAUCAAAGGAAUGAACAAAGGAACGAAAAAGGAACUCAAUUUUCAAUCAGUUUUCACACACUGCAAAGACAAUUUUGCCCUUAAUGACAAAUGAGUGACAUUGGGUCCCACCCGUGUCAAAUGAGUGUGGAUUCUAUUAACCGUGUCAAAGAAUUAUUUCCCAAAAAGAAUUUCCAAUUACA